Cricetulus griseus (Chinese hamster) is the source of this 77-nucleotide small nucleolar RNA. Ensembl annotates it as small nucleolar RNA SNORD121A. Lineage: Eukaryota; Metazoa; Chordata; Mammalia; Rodentia; Cricetidae. The record is from Ensembl.
AGGGAAGAGACGAUGAUGUGUUUCCAAGCACAUAUCUGACUUAUGUGCGGAUGACAAUCAAGCUGAGUCUUUUCCAC